CGCACAUUGCGCCCCUUGGUAUUCCAUGGGGCAUGCCUGUUCGAGCGUCAUUUGUACCUUCAAGCUCUGCUUGGUGAUGGGUGUUUGUCCUGUUCUUUUGUGACGGGACUCGCCUCAAAAUUAUUGGCAGCCGGCAUAUUGGCCUUUGGAGCGCAGCACAUUUUGCGAUCUAAGCCUGUAUGUUGGUAUCCAUGAAGCUCAAUUAUCACUUUUGACCUCGGAUCAGGUAGGGAUACCCGCUGAACUUAA
RNAcentral lists this unclassified non-coding RNA (249 nucleotides) under Phaeosphaeriaceae sp. Its description in RNAcentral is "partial contains 5.8S ribosomal RNA, internal transcribed spacer 2, and large subunit ribosomal RNA". The record is from RNAcentral. Lineage: Eukaryota; Fungi; Ascomycota; Dothideomycetes; Pleosporales; Phaeosphaeriaceae.